Corythoichthys intestinalis (scribbled pipefish) is the source of this 1556-nucleotide long non-coding RNA. RefSeq lists it as uncharacterized. The transcript is spliced from 4 exons. The record is from RefSeq and is a predicted model, not a curated record. NCBI's taxonomy places the organism in Eukaryota, Metazoa, Chordata, Actinopteri, Syngnathiformes, Syngnathidae.
CCGGAAGUAAACAAAUGUCCCGUGAUUUGCGUGCAAGACGUACGUUGUUACUUUGUGAGUUUCAAUGUAAAUAAAACAACGCGGCUUGGCUCAGUGGUUCGAAACUCUUCCUCAGACUCCUGUCCUAGCUCGCCACACGGUCAACUUUUAUACGAAACGGAUCGCCGUUACAUUCUCUUCAAGACAACAUCGCCAUGUGCCGGCAUGUUGCAACGAUAAGCCUCCAGGGGCAGUGUGACGCUCACAUCCAGGUGUGGAUUUGAUUGAAAGAAACAAGGAAGGCUGUCACGUCCUGUUUCUAAGGAGAAAGCAGCUAAGAGGAAGGGAUUAUGGGGGCACAAAAAGGAAGGAAGCAGACGAGUGAGCAUGGAGGAAAGAAAGAAGACCAAACAACUGUCUGUGGACUUGAGAAGCAAAAUUGUGAGGAAGCAUGGGCAAUCUCAAGGCUACAAGUCCAUCUCCAAAGAUCUGAAUGUUCCUGUGUCUACCGUGCGCAGUGUCAUCAGUAAGUGUAAAGCCCAUGGCACUGUGGCUAACCUCCCUAGAUGUGGACGUAAAAGAAAAAUUGACGACAGAUUUCAACGAAAGAUUGUGCAGAUGGUGGAUAAAGAACCUCGACCAACAUCCAAACAAGUUCAAGCUGUCCUGAAGUCCGAGGGUACAAGAGUCAGUGUCAACCCGUACUAUCCAUCGAUGUCUGAAUUAAAAGACAUUCUAUGGUAGGAUACCCAGGAAGACCCCACUUCUGACCCAGAGACAUGAAAAAGCCAGGCUGGAGUUUGCCAAAACUUACCUGAGAAAGCCAAAAACGUUUUCUAAGAAGGUUCUCUGGUCAGGUGAGAUUAAAGUAGAGCUUUUUUGGGAAAAGGCAUCAACAGAGAGUUUACAGGAAAAAAAAACGAGGCCUUCAUAGAAAAUACAUCCCCACAGUAAAACAUGGCAGAGGUUCCCUGAUGUAUAGGGGUUGCUUUCACUGCCUCUGGCACUGGACUACUUGACCGUGUGCAUGGCAUUAUGAAGUUUGAAGACUACCAACAAAUUUUGCAGCAUAGUGUGGGCCCCAGUGUGAGAAAGCUGGGUCUCCCUCAGAGUUCACGGGUCUUCCAGCAGGACAAUGACCCCAAACACACUUCAAAAAGCACUAGAAAAUGGUUUGAGAGAAAGCACUGGAGACUUCAAAAGUAGCCAGCAAUGAGUUCAGAUCUGAAUCCCAUAGAACACCUGUGGAGCGAUCUGAAAAUGGCAGUUUGGAGAAGGCACCCUUCAAAUCUCAGAGACCUGAAGCAGUUGGCCAAAGAAGAAUGGUCUAAAAUUCCAGCAGAGCUUUGUAAGAAACUCACUGAUGGAUACUGCGCAGUUGUUCGCAGUUAUUUUGUCUAAAGGUUGUGCUACCAAGUAUUAGGCUGAGGGUGCCAAUACUUUUUUCAGGCCCUUUUUUGAGUUUUGUGUGAAAUGAUAAUGAUAUUUUUUUUUUUCAUUCUCUUUUGUGUGUUUUUAUCGCAAGCAAAAUAAAUGAAGAUAUUACUAACAAAACAUUUGUAAUUGCAAUCAUUUUC